GAUGAACGCUGGCGGCGUGCCUAAUACAUGCAAGUCGAGCGAACGGACGAGAAUCUUGCUUCUCUGAUGUUAGCGGCGGACGGGUGAGUAACACGUGGAUAACCUACCUAUAAGACUGGGAUAACUUCGGGAAACCGUAGCUAAUACCGGAUAAUAUUUUGAACCGCAUGGUUCAAAAGUGAAAGACGGUCUUGCUGUCACUUAUAGAUGGAUCCGCGCUGCAUUAGCUAGUUGGUAAGGUAACGGCUUACCAAGGCAACGAUGCAUAGCCGACCCGAGAGGGUGAUCGGCCACACUGGAACUGAGACACGGUCCAGACUCCUACGGGAGGCAGCAGUAGGGAAUCUUCCGCAAUGGGCGAAAGCCUGACGGAGCAACGCCGCGUGAGUGAUGAAGGUCUUCGGAUCGUAAAACUCUGUUAUUAGGGAAGAACAUAUGUGUAAGUAACUGGGCACAUCUUGACGGUACCUAAUCAGAAAGCCACGGCUAACUACGUG
RNAcentral lists this ribosomal RNA (497 nucleotides) under uncultured bacterium. Its description in RNAcentral is "partial 16S ribosomal RNA". It matches the Rfam family "Bacterial small subunit ribosomal RNA", at positions 28 to 507 of the family's 1533-position model. The record is from RNAcentral.